Molecule: ribosomal RNA, 163 nt
Filed under: uncultured Chlamydiales bacterium
Lineage: Bacteria; Pseudomonadati; Chlamydiota; Chlamydiia; Chlamydiales
Description: partial 16S ribosomal RNA
Rfam family: Bacterial small subunit ribosomal RNA
Source: RNAcentral
AGCUGCAGUCGAGGAUCUUUCGCAUGGGCGCAAGCCUGACGAAGCGACGCUGUGUGAGCGAUGAAGGCCUUCGGGUUGUAAAGCUCUUUCGCGCAGGAACAAGAGAAGUAUGAGAAUAACCUUUUGAUUUGAGGGUACUGCGUAAAGAAGCACCGGCUAACUC